UACUAUCCGGGAACCCAGCGGCGUCCUGUACCUGAAAUCCGCUACAGCAGGGGUGAAUUCCGGAUCUGAGGGCUGAAUUUUCGUGAUAGAGCCGCGUUCGGACGCGUUGACGGACGGGUCCUGCGCAAUCGGGCGCUUCGAACCGUGUCAGGCGGGGGACCGAGCAGCACUAAGGAGCAUACCCGAUGUGCCGCGGGAGCGCCUGUCCCGAGCUGACGGCGCGGUAUUCGC
This 231-nucleotide signal recognition particle RNA is filed under the name bovine gut metagenome. RNAcentral describes it as "Bacterial large signal recognition particle RNA". It matches the Rfam family "Bacterial large signal recognition particle RNA", at positions 4 to 229 of the family's 256-position model. From Rfam's summary of the family: The signal recognition particle (SRP) is a universally conserved ribonucleoprotein involved in the co-translational targeting of proteins to membranes. Archaeal SRP consists of a 7S RNA and homologues of the eukaryotic SRP19 and SRP54 proteins. In most bacteria, the SRP consists of a 4.5S RNA and the Ffh protein (a homologue of the eukaryotic SRP54 protein). The record is from RNAcentral.